ACGAUGGAUAGGGGUUCUGAGAGGAAGGUCCCCCACAUUGGUACUGAGACACGGACCAAACUCCUACGGGAGGCAGCAGUGAGGAAUAUUGGUCAAUGGGCGUAAGCCUGAACCAGCCAAGUCGCGUGAGGGAUGAAGGUUCUAUGGAUCGUAAACCUCUUUUAUAAGGGAAUAAAGUGCGGGACGUGUCCCGUUUUGUAUGUACCUUAUGAAUAAGGAUCGGCUAACUCCGUGCCAGCAGCCGCGGUAAUACGGAGGAUCCGAGCGUUAUCCGGAUUUAUUGGGUUUAAAGGGUGCGUAGGCGGCCUUUUAAGUCAGCGGUGAAAGUCUGUGGCUCAACCAUAGAAUUGCCGUUGAAACUGGGAGGCUUGAGUAUGUUUGAGGCAGGCGGAAUGCGUGGUGUAGCGGUGAAAUGCUUAGAUAUCACGCAGAACCCCGAUUGCGAAGGCAGCCUGCCAAGCCAUGACUGACGCUGAUGCACGAAAGCGUGGGGAUCAAACAGGAUUAGAUACCCUGGUAGUCCACGC
This 527-nucleotide ribosomal RNA is filed under the name uncultured bacterium. Its description in RNAcentral is "bacterial SSU rRNA". It matches the Rfam family "Bacterial small subunit ribosomal RNA", at positions 276 to 800 of the family's 1533-position model. The record is from RNAcentral.